Molecule: ribosomal RNA, 1372 nt
Filed under: uncultured bacterium
Lineage: Bacteria
Description: bacterial SSU rRNA
Rfam family: Bacterial small subunit ribosomal RNA
Source: RNAcentral
GAUGAACGCUGGCGGCGUGCCUAAUACAUGCGAGUCGAGCGAACGGACGAGAAGCUUGCUUCUCUGAUGUUAGCGGCGGACGGGUGAGUGACACGUGGAUAACCUACCUAUAAGACUGGGAUAACUUCGGGAAACCGGAGCUAAUACCGGAUAAUAUUUUGAACCGCAUGGUUCAAAAGUGAAAGACGGUCUUGCUGUCACUUAUAGAUGGAUCCGCGCUGCAUUAGCUAGUUGGUAAGGUAACGGCUUACCAAGGCAACGAUGCAUAGCCGACCUGAGAGGGUGAUCGGCCACACUGGAACUGAGACACGGUCCAGACUCCUACGGGAGGCAGCAGUAGGGAAUCUUCCGCAAUGGGCGAAAGCCUGACGGAGCAACGCCGCGUGAGUGAUGAAGGUCUUCGGAUCGUAAAACUCUGUUAUUAGGGAAGAACAUAUGUGUAAGUAACUGUGCACAUCUUGACGGUACCUAAUCAGAAAGCCACGGCUAACUACGUGCCAGCAGCCGCGGUAAUACGUAGGUGGCAAGCGUUAUCCGGAAUUAUUGGGCGUAAAGCGCGCGUAGGCGGUUUUUUAAGUCUGAUGUGAAAGCCCACGGCUCAACCGUGGAGGGUCAUUGGAAACUGGAAAACUUGAGUGCAGAAGAGGAAAGUGGAAUUCCAUGUGUAGCGGUGAAAUGCGCAGAGAUAUGGAGGAACACCAGUGGCGAAGGCGACUUUCUGGUCUGUAACUGACGCUGAUGUGCGAAAGCGUGGGGAUCAAACAGGAUUAGAUACCCUGGUAGUCCACGCCGUAAACGAUGAGUGCUAAGUGUUAGGGGGUUUCCGCCUCUUAGUGCUGCAGCUAACGCAUUAAGCACUCCGCCUGGGGAGUACGACCGCAAGGUUGAAACUCAAAGGAAUUGACGGGGACCCGCACAAGCGGUGGAGCAUGUGGUUUAAUUCGAAGCAACGCGAAGAACCUUACCAAAUCUUGACAUCCUCUGACAACUCUAGAGAUAGAGCCUUCCCCUUCGGGGGACAAAGUGACAGGUGGUGCAUGGUUGUCGUCAGCUCGUGUCGUGAGAUGUUGGGUUAAGUCCCGCAACGAGCGCAACCCUUAAGCUUAGUUGCCAUCAUUAAGUUGGGCACUCUAAGUUGACUGCCGGUGACAAACCGGAGGAAGGUGGGGAUGACGUCAAAUCAUCAUGCCCCUUAUGAUUUGGGCUACACACGUGCUACAAUGGACAAUACAAAGGGCAGCGAAACCGCGAGGUCAAGCAAAUCCCAUAAAGUUGUUCUCAGUUCGGAUUGUAGUUUGCAACUCGACUACAUGAAGCUGGAAUCGCUAGUAAUCGUAGAUCAGCAUGCUACGGUGAAUACGUUCCCGGGUCU